This 361-nucleotide transfer RNA is filed under the name uncultured Microcystis sp. RNAcentral's name for it is "partial 16S-23S ribosomal RNA intergenic spacer". The stretch from base 136 to 209 matches the Rfam family "tRNA". Lineage: Bacteria; Bacillati; Cyanobacteriota; Cyanophyceae; Chroococcales; Microcystaceae. The record is from RNAcentral.
AAAGGGAGACCUAAUUCAGGUAAGAGACGAAAAAAAAGUAGUCGCUACCAAGAAUCAAUCCCAAAAGGUCGGAGCGAGGCGAAAUUGGCUUUCAAACUAGGUUCUGGGUUCAAACAAGACCUGAAUCAGGAACAAGGGCUAUUAGCUCAGGUGGUUAGAGCGCACCCCUGAUAAGGGUGAGGUCCCUGGUUCGAGUCCAGGAUGGCCCACCUGCACAGGUGGCAAAAACAAGAGAAGCGAGGAAUCAGCACCUUAUCUUACUUAUAUAGUAAGAGAGAAUGCUGGCUCUGAGUAAAGAGUCCAGAGGAACCUUGAAAACUGCAUAGAGCUAGGUGAAAAAGCCAAAAAAGAAGACCGCAAG